This 221-nucleotide long non-coding RNA is filed under the name Lathyrus oleraceus (garden pea). Its description in RNAcentral is "Pisum sativum (pea) long non-coding RNA (PSAT_LNC040206)". Lineage: Eukaryota; Viridiplantae; Streptophyta; Magnoliopsida; Fabales; Fabaceae. The record is from RNAcentral.
ACCCAACCACUUAGCCUAACAAAGCGAACUCUUUGAAUUCGAUGAGCCGAGAAAAAGAAAUAAAAAAAAGAGAAAAAAAAGUUCAAAAUGAGAUCAUUAAACACUAACAGGUUAACUUACUAUGUACGAGAAGGGAUAAUGGGCUUAAUGUGAUUGCCAUUGAAUGAAAAUGAGGGAAAGAGAACGAUGGACAUAGUUUGAGUUAUAAUGGCAUGAUCCGG